This 253-nucleotide ribosomal RNA is filed under the name uncultured bacterium. RNAcentral's name for it is "partial 16S ribosomal RNA". It matches the Rfam family "Bacterial small subunit ribosomal RNA", at positions 524 to 776 of the family's 1533-position model. The record is from RNAcentral.
UACAGAGGGGGCAAGCGUUAUUCGGAAUUAUUGGGCGUAAAGGGCGCGUAGGCGGCCACGCACGUCCGUUGUGAAAUCGCCCGGCUCAACUGGGCGGGGUCAGCGGAUACGGUGUGGCUAGAGCAAGCUAGGGGGCAAUGGAAUUCCCGGUGUAGUGGUGGAAUGCGUAGAUAUCGGGAGGAACACCAGUGGCGAAGGCGGUUGCCUGGAGCUUUGCUGACGCUGAUGCGCGAAAGCGUGGGGAGCGAUCCGG